CAGCGCGGUAAUACGAAGGGUGCAAGCGUUAAUCGGAAUUACUGGGCGUAAAGCGUGCGUAGGCGGUGAGUUAAGUCUGCUGUGAAAUCCCCGGGCUCAACCUGGGAAUGGCAGUGGAUACUGGCUCGCUAGAGUGUGUCAGAGGAUGGUGGAAUUCCCGGUGUAGCGGUGAAAUGCGUAGAGAUCGGGAGGAACAUCAGUGGCGAAGGCGGCCAUCUGGGACAACACUGACGCUGAGGCACGAAAGCGUGGGGAGCAAACAGGAUUAGAUACCCCAGUAGUCCCUGUCUCUUAUACACAU
RNAcentral lists this ribosomal RNA (301 nucleotides) under uncultured bacterium. RNAcentral describes it as "partial 16S ribosomal RNA". It matches the Rfam family "Bacterial small subunit ribosomal RNA", at positions 512 to 816 of the family's 1533-position model. The record is from RNAcentral.